AGCUAUCAUCAAAAGUCACAUAAUAAGUUUCUUCUAUCUUCCUUGAACGCUUGUUUAAUACUCGAUAGGCUUUCGAAGUGAGAGAAUAUCCCAGGAAAAUCCCUUCAUCGGCUUUGACGUCGAACUUGUUACGAUGUUCUUUAGAGUUGAAGAUGAAACACCGUGAGCCGAAUACGUGGAAGAAUUUGACAUUUGGCUUCCUGUUGUUGAUGAUCUCAUAAGGAGUGAGAUUAAAGCGUUUAUUGAGAUAGGACCUGUUCUGCGUAAAACAUGCUGCAGCAAUAGCAUCAGCCCAAAAGUAUAAAGGUAAAGAAGCAAAACUUAGCAUGGUUCGGGCCGNAUUAAAGUGUUUAUUGAGAUAGGACCUGUUCUGCGUAAAACAUGCUGCAGCAAUAGCAUCAGCCCAAAAGUAUAAAGGUAAAGAAGCAAAACUUAGCAUGGUUCGGGCCGCCUCACACAAAGAUCGGUUUCGUCUUUCGACAAUCCCGUUUUGUUGAGGGGUGUAGGGAGCUGAGAAGUUGUGACUGGUUCCUUUUUCUGCCAAGAAGUCUUUGAAUUCUUUAUUUUUGAACUCCAGCCCAUUGUCGCUCCUGAUGUUGCGAACGACUUUCCUCAGCUGCACUUCAACCUGCUUGAUAAACAUCUUUAGCUUGAGAGUUGCUUCA
This 665-nucleotide long non-coding RNA is filed under the name Lactuca sativa (garden lettuce). Its description in RNAcentral is "long non-coding RNA (LSAT_LNC007986)". The record is from RNAcentral. Lineage: Eukaryota; Viridiplantae; Streptophyta; Magnoliopsida; Asterales; Asteraceae.